This 1298-nucleotide ribosomal RNA is filed under the name Staphylococcus epidermidis. RNAcentral's name for it is "bacterial SSU rRNA". It matches the Rfam family "Bacterial small subunit ribosomal RNA", at positions 61 to 1342 of the family's 1533-position model. Lineage: Bacteria; Bacillati; Bacillota; Bacilli; Caryophanales; Staphylococcaceae. The record is from RNAcentral.
GUCGAGCGACAGACGAGGAGCUUGCUCCUCUGACGUUAGCGGCGGACGGGUGAGUAACACGUGGAUAACCUACCUAUAAGACUGGGAUAACUUCGGGAAACCGGAGCUAAUACCGGAUAAUAUAUUGAACCGCAUGGUUCAAUAGUGAAAGACGGUUUUGCUGUCACUUAUAGAUGGAUCCGCGCCGCAUUAGCUAGUUGGUAAGGUAACGGCUUACCAAGGCAACGAUGCGUAGCCGACCUGAGAGGGUGAUCGGCCACACUGGAACUGAGACACGGUCCAGACUCCUACGGGAGGCAGCAGUAGGGAAUCUUCCGCAAUGGGCGAAAGCCUGACGGAGCAACGCCGCGUGAGUGAUGAAGGUCUUCGGAUCGUAAAACUCUGUUAUUAGGGAAGAACAAAUGUGUAAGUAACUAUGCACGUCUUGACGGUACCUAAUCAGAAAGCCACGGCUAACUACGUGCCAGCAGCCGCGGUAAUACGUAGGUGGCAAGCGUUAUCCGGAAUUAUUGGGCGUAAAGCGCGCGUAGGCGGUUUUUUAAGUCUGAUGUGAAAGCCCACGGCUCAACCGUGGAGGGUCAUUGGAAACUGGAAAACUUGAGUGCAGAAGAGGAAAGUGGAAUUCCAUGUGUAGCGGUGAAAUGCGCAGAGAUAUGGAGGAACACCAGUGGCGAAGGCGACUUUCUGGUCUGUAACUGACGCUGAUGUGCGAAAGCGUGGGGAUCAAACAGGAUUAGAUACCCUGGUAGUCCACGCCGUAAACGAUGAGUGCUAAGUGUUAGGGGGUUUCCGCCCCUUAGUGCUGCAGCUAACGCAUUAAGCACUCCGCCUGGGGAGUACGACCGCAAGGUUGAAACUCAAAGGAAUUGACGGGGACCCGCACAAGCGGUGGAGCAUGUGGUUUAAUUCGAAGCAACGCGAAGAACCUUACCAAAUCUUGACAUCCUCUGACCCCUCUAGAGAUAGAGUUUUCCCCUUCGGGGGACAGAGUGACAGGUGGUGCAUGGUUGUCGUCAGCCGUGUCGUGAGAUGUUGGGUUAAGUCCCGCAACGAGCGCAACCCUUAAGCUUAGUUGCCAUCAUUAAGUUGGGCACUCUAAGUUGACUGCCGGUGACAAACCGGAGGAAGGUGGGGAUGACGUCAAAUCAUCAUGCCCCUUAUGAUUUGGGCUACACACGUGCUACAAUGGACAAUACAAAGGGCAGCGAAACCGCGAGGUCAAGCAAAUCCCAUAAAGUUGUUCUCAGUUCGGAUUGUAGUCUGCAACUCGACUAUAUGAAGCUGGAAUCGCUAGUAAU